UCUCUGCACGUAAUUUACAAUAUUUUAUAGUUUCCAAAGGGUUUUCACGUCAUUGUCUCAUUGAAAACUCCCUGAGACGGUGACGUAUGGGCAGGAGUCAGUUUAACCCGUUUUUUUUUUUAAUAAAAAUUAUCGUCAGAGAGGACAUGGACUGAAAAAAAAUGCACAACUUGGAAGUUGAGAAUUAUGUUUUAUUCAGCGCUCUUGCUGAGGACUUGAGCCCGGGAGACAGCAUCUCCGAGGGACUGUUCUGAAGAGUCAGAUGACCAAGGCAAGGAAAUGGAAUAGGACCAGAGUGCCAGGUGAAGACUUCAUCUCAAGAACAGUGAAGCUUCCUUAGUCUUAAAAAGAAAAAGGGGAUGAGUUGAACUGUCCUUGCAGAAGAGAUAACAGAUGGUGUGAACCCCAGAUCCUACUGCAUAGCACGGGGAGCUCUACUCCAUAUCCUGUAACAAACUGUACGGGAAAAGAAUCUGUCUUGCCAAGCCAUGGCUGGAAGAAGUUAUGGAUACAGAUCAGGGGCAGACGGUGCUCAGGAG
Kogia breviceps (pygmy sperm whale) is the source of this 539-nucleotide long non-coding RNA. RefSeq lists it as uncharacterized. The record is from RefSeq and is a predicted model, not a curated record. NCBI's taxonomy places the organism in Eukaryota, Metazoa, Chordata, Mammalia, Artiodactyla, Physeteridae.